RNAcentral lists this ribosomal RNA (2952 nucleotides) under hot springs metagenome. Its description in RNAcentral is "bacterial LSU rRNA". It matches the Rfam family "Bacterial large subunit ribosomal RNA". The record is from RNAcentral.
CCAAGCUCCGAAGGGCGUAUGGGGGAUGUCUGGGCGUCAGGAGGCGAUGAAGGGCGUGGGAGCCUGCGAAAAGCUCGGGGGAGCUGGCAACCAAGCUUUGAUCCCGAGAUUCCCGAAUGAGCCCGUGCUGAAUUCAUAGGCACGGAGCGGUGACACCCGGUGAACUGAAACAUCUCAGUAACCGGAGGAAAAGAAAGCAAAAGCGAUUUCCUUAGUAGCGGCGAGCGAAAGGGAAACAGCCCAAACCGCGGGGGUUUCCCCUGCGGGGUUGUAGGGCCCUCCACAUGGGAGUUACAAAGUGAGCGUUAGCUGAAGGACAUUGGAAAGGUCCACCACAGAGGGUGACAGUCCCGUAGGCGAAAACGUGUCACCUCCCGGAGGGUACCUGAGUAGGUCGGGGCACGUGAAACCCCGACUGAAGCAACGGGGACCAUCCCGUAAGGCUAAAUACUCCCUGACGACCGAUAGUGAACUAAGUAGGGCGACCGAAAGAUGGAAAGAACCCCUGUUAGGGGAGGCAUUGAACCUGAAACCAUACGCCUACAAGCGGUCGGAGCACUAUGGCUGGCUAUUUGGCAACAGGUGGUCAGCAAGGUGUGACGGCGUGCCUUUUGCAUAAUGAUCCGGCGAGUUACUGUCGGCGGCUUGGUUAAGGCCUUCCGGGCCGGAGCCGCAGGGAAACCGAGUCUGAAUAGGGCGAUUGUGUCGCCGGCAGUAGACGCGAACCUGCGUGAUCUACCCAUGGGCAGGGCGAAGCGCGAGUGAUAUCGCGUGGAGGCCCGAACCCACUAGGGUUGAAAACCUAGGGGAUGACCUGUGGGGAGGAGUGAAAGUCUAAUCAAACGCAGAGAUAGCUCGUUCUCUCCGAAAUAGCUUUAGGGCUAGCCUCGAGCCACUACGCACCGGGGGUAGAGAGACUGAAUCGGCAUGGGGGCCUUCGCCGGCUACCCAGCUGAACCAAACUCCGAAUACCGGUGCGACUAUCUCGGGAGUCAGUCCGCGGGGGAUAAGCUCCGCGGUCGAGAGGGAAACAACCCAGACCACUUGCUAAGGUCCCUAAGCUUGGCUAAGUCACAAAGGAAGUUGGGUUGCUGAGACAGCCAGGAUGUUGGCUUAGAAGCAGCCACCAUUUAAAAAGUGCGUAACAGCUUACUGGCCGAGCAACCCAGCGCCGAAAAUGAACGGGAGUAAGCCAGGCACCGAAGCAGUGGAUGAAGUUCAUGACUGCGGUCAUGGGCUUCGUGGUAGGAGAGCGCUGUAGGUCAGACACGAGCCGUACCGCGAGGAACGGUGGAGGGGCCUACAGGUGCUUAUGCCGGAAUGAGUAACGAUAAAGCAGGUGAGAAUCCUGCUCGCCGAAAGCCUAAGGUUUCCUGGGGAAGGUAAUUCCGCCCAGGGUGAGCCGGUACCUAAGUCGAGGCCGAAAGGCGUAGACGAUGGACAGCAGGUCAAGAUUCCUGCGCCACCGCGGUGGACCGAUGGAGGGACGGCGCGCGUAGGGUGAGCGGUACGGAUAGAAAGGUCCGUGGACUGUCGCGAGGCUGGGGAGAGGCAAAUCCGCCCCUCGUGCCAGACGACAGGACCGACCGCGUUCGAUCGGGAAGUCAUCCGAAACGUGUCCAAGAAAAGCUUCUAAGGGUUGAAGCCGUGGUGACCGUACUAAAACUGACACAGGUAGGCGAGACGAGUAGUCUAAGGCGCUCGGGAGAACACUGGUUAAGGAACUCUGCAAAAUGGCCCCGUAACUUCGGGAUAAGGGGUGCCCCUGGGGGUCUGAAGCUUCUGGGGGCCGCAGUGAAUCGGCUCCUGCGACUGUUUAUCAAAAACACAGGUCUCUGCGAACUCGUAAGAGGAGGUAUAGAGACUGACGCCUGCCCGGUGCCGGUAGGUUAAGGAAGACAGUUAGCGGGGGAGCAAUCCUCGGCGAAGCUGGCAACCGAAGCCCCGGUAAACGGCGGCCGUAACUAUGACGGUCCUAAGGUAGCGAAGUUCCUUGUCGGGUAAGUUCCGACCUGCAUGAAAGGCGUAACGACAGGAGCACUGUCUCAACCAGUGACCCGGUGAAAUUGUAGCCGUGGUGAAGAUGCCACGUACCCGCAGCUAGACGGAAAGACCCCGUGAACCUUUACUGUAAGCUGGUAUUGGGCUGAGGCUCGUCCUGUGUAGAAUAGGUGGGAGGCUGUGAAGGUGGGACGCCAGUUCCACUUGAGCCGCAAUGUGAAAUACCACCCUGGGCUUGCUUUAGUUCUAACGCCGGUCCCGUGACCCGGGCGGCGGACAGUGCCAGCCGGGCAGUUUGACUGGGGCGGUCUCCUCCUAAAAAGUAACGGAGGAGUCCAAAGGUACCCUCAGCCUGGUCGGCAAUCAGGCGUUGAGCGCAAAGGUAGAAGGGUGCUUGACUGUGAGACCGAUAGGUCGAGCAGGUACGAAAGUAGGGCUUAGUGAUCCGGUGGUCCCGAAUGGAAGGGCCAUCGCUCAACAGAUAAAAGGUACUCCGGGGAUAACAGGCUAAUCUCCCCCGAGCGUCCAUAGCGGCGGGGAGGUUUGGCACCUCGAUGUCGGCUCAUCACAUCCUGGGGGUGAAGAAGCUCCCAAGGGUUCGGCUGUUCGCCGAUGAAAGUGGUACGUGAGCUGGGUUCAGACCGUCGUGAGACAGGUCGGUCCCUAUCUGCUGUGGGCGCACGAAACUUGAGGAGGGUCCUCCUUAGUACGCAAGGACUUGGAGGGACGUCCCUCUGGUGUUCCAGCUGUCGCGCUAGCGGCACGGCUGGGUAGCUAUGGACGGAAAGGAUAAACGCUGAAAGCAUCUAAGCGUGAAGCCCUCUCCAAGAUCAGGUUUCGUAAGCGGAUUACCGCGAAAGCCCCCUGGAAGACUACCAGGUCGAUAGGCCGGGUGUGUAAACGCAGCAAUGCGUGUAGCUAACCGGUACUAACGGGCGAAAGCUUGGCCAC